UACGGGGGGAGCAAGCGUUGUUCGGAUUUACUGGGCGUAAAGGGCGUGUAGGCGGCCACCGCAAGUCGGUUGUGAAAUCUCCGGGCUUAACCCGGAAAGGUCAACCGAUACUGCGGGGCUAGAGUGCAGAAGGGGCAACUGGAAUUCCCGGUGUAGAGGUGAAAUUCGUAGAUAUCGGGAGGAAUACCAGUGGCGAAGGCGCUGACCUGGACGAAGAUUGACGCUGAGGUGCGAAAGCGCGGGGAGCAAACAGG
This 254-nucleotide ribosomal RNA is filed under the name uncultured prokaryote. RNAcentral's name for it is "partial 16S ribosomal RNA". It matches the Rfam family "Bacterial small subunit ribosomal RNA", at positions 524 to 776 of the family's 1533-position model. The record is from RNAcentral.